Molecule: non-coding RNA, 160 nt
Filed under: Endozoicomonas montiporae
Lineage: Bacteria; Pseudomonadati; Pseudomonadota; Gammaproteobacteria; Oceanospirillales; Endozoicomonadaceae
Description: Bacterial large subunit ribosomal RNA
Rfam family: Bacterial large subunit ribosomal RNA
Source: Rfam by way of RNAcentral
GAUAACAGGCUGAUACCGCCCAAGAGUUCACAUCGACGGCGGUGUUUGGCACCUCGAUGUCGGCUCAUCACAUCCUGGGGCUGAAGCCGGUCCCAAGGGUAUGGCUGUUCGCCAUUUAAAGUGGUACGCGAGCUGGGUUUAGAACGUCGUGAGACAGUUC